GACACUCAAGAACGAAAGCGUGGGAGCGAACAGGAUUAGAUACCCUGGUAGUCCACGCCGUAAACGAUGCAGACUAGCUAUUCGGAGUAUCGACCCUCUGUGUAGCGAAGCUAACGCGUGAAGUCUGCCGCCUGGGAAGCACGGUCGCAAGACUAAAACUCAAAGGAAUUGACGGGGGCUCGCACAAGCGGUGGAGCAUGUGGUUUAAUUCGACGCUAAGCGAGGAACCUUACCCGUUCUUGACAUCUCUGGAACCCUGUAGAAAUACGGGGGUGCCUUCGGGAGCCAGAUGACAGAUGAUGCACGGUCGUCGUCAGUUCGUGGCGUGAGCUGUACCCUUAAGUGGGCAAACGAACGAAACCCCUGUCCUGUGUUGCAUUUCACGGGAGACUGCCUCAUUCAAUGGGGAGGAAGGCGGGGAUGACGCCAGAUCAGCGUGUCUCUUACGACCGGGGCGACACACGUGCUACAAUGGCAAGUAACAACGGGUUGCGAAGCCGUAAGGUGGAGCUAAUCCCUUAAACCUUGCCUCAGUUCGGAUUGUGGGCUGCAACUCGCCCACAUGAAGUUGGAAUCGCUAGUAAACGCGGAUCAGCCGUGCCGCGUUGAAUACGUUCUCGAGCCUUGUACACACCGCCCGUCAAGUGAGCCGAGUUGGCAAUGCCCGAAGCACUACUCUGUAGUACCACGGCAGGGUCAGCGAGGAGCACUAAGUCGUAACAAGGUAACCAAGGG
RNAcentral lists this ribosomal RNA (735 nucleotides) under uncultured bacterium. RNAcentral describes it as "bacterial SSU rRNA". It matches the Rfam family "Bacterial small subunit ribosomal RNA", at positions 742 to 1506 of the family's 1533-position model. The record is from RNAcentral.